CCCUUAGAUGUUCUGGGCCGCACGCGUGCUACACUGAGUGGAUCAGCGGGUCAGGUUGCGCGAAAGUGUUUCCUAAUCUUGAAAUCCGCUCGUGAUGGGGAUUGACGGUUGCAAUUUUCCGUCAUGAACGAGGAAUACCUUGUAAGCGCGGGUCAUCAUCCCGCGCUGAAUACGUCCCUGCCCUUUGUACACACCGCCCGUCGCUACUACCGAUUGGAUGGCUUAGUGAGACCCUCGGACCGAUAGGCUGUCGCCGCGGCAACGUGGCGACCGGCCCGUCGGGAAGAAGGUCAAAUUUGACUGUCUAGAGGAAGUAAAAGUCGUAACA
Molecule: ribosomal RNA, 328 nt
Filed under: uncultured eukaryote
Lineage: Eukaryota
Description: partial 18S ribosomal RNA
Rfam family: Eukaryotic small subunit ribosomal RNA
Source: RNAcentral